Molecule: ribosomal RNA, 253 nt
Filed under: uncultured bacterium
Lineage: Bacteria
Description: partial 16S ribosomal RNA
Rfam family: Bacterial small subunit ribosomal RNA
Source: RNAcentral
UACGAAGGGGGCUAGCGUUGCUCGGACUCACUGGGCGUAAAGCGCACGUAGGCGGGUCCUUAAGUCGGGGGUGAAAUCCUGGAGCUCAACUCCAGAACUGCCUUCGAUACUGGAAGACUUGAGUCCGGGAGAGGUGAGUGGAACUGCGAGUGUAGAGGUGAAAUUCGUAGAUAUUCGCAAGAACACCAGUGGCGAAGGCGGCUCACUGGCCCGGUACUGACGCUGAGGUGCGAAAGCGUGGGGAGCAAACAGG